GAUCAUGGCUACAGAACGAACGCUGGCGGCGCGCCUAAUACAUGCAAGUCGAGCGAGAAGGUGUAGCAAUUACACUUGUAAAGCGGCGAACGGGUGAGGAAUGCAUGGGUAACCUACCCUCGAGUGGGGAUAACUAGCCGAAAGGUUAGCUAAUACCGCAUACGUUUCCGGAACUUCGGUUUCGGAAAGAAAGCAAUACCGUGGGUAUUGCGCUCCUGGAUGGGCUCAUGUCCUAUCAGCUUGUUGGUGAGGUAACGGCUCACCAAGGCUUCGACGGGUAGCUGGUCUGAGAGGACGAUCAGCCACACUGGCACUGCGACACGGGCCAGACUCCUACGGGAGGCAGCAGUAAGGAAUAUUGCGCAAUGGACGAAAGUCUGACGCAGCGACGCCGCGUGGGGGAUGAAGGUCUUCGGAUUGUAAACCCCUUUCGGGAGGGAAGAUGGAGUGGGUAACCACUUGGACGGUACCUCCAGAAGCAGCCACGGCUAACUUCGUG
Molecule: ribosomal RNA, 499 nt
Filed under: uncultured bacterium
Lineage: Bacteria
Description: bacterial SSU rRNA
Rfam family: Bacterial small subunit ribosomal RNA
Source: RNAcentral